RNAcentral lists this ribosomal RNA (495 nucleotides) under uncultured bacterium. RNAcentral describes it as "partial 16S ribosomal RNA". It matches the Rfam family "Bacterial small subunit ribosomal RNA", at positions 28 to 507 of the family's 1533-position model. The record is from RNAcentral.
GACGAACGCUGGCGGCGUGCCUAAUACAUGCAAGUAGAACGCUGAAGGAGGAGCUUGCUUCUCUGGAUGAGUUGCGAACGGGUGAGUAACGCGUAGGUAACCUGCCUGGUAGCGGGGGAUAACUAUUGGAAACGAUAGCUAAUACCGCAUAAUAGUAGAUGUUGCAUGACAUUUGCUUAAAAGGUGCAAUUGCAUCACUACCAGAUGGACCUGCGUUGUAUUAGCUAGUUGGUGGGGUAACGGCUCACCAAGGCGACGAUACAUAGCCGAUCUGAGAGGGGGCUCGGCCACACUGGGACUGAGACACGGCCCAGACUCCUACGGGAGGCAGCAGUAGGGAAUCUUCGGCAAUGGACGGAGGUCUGACCGAGCAACGCCGCGUGAGUGAAGAAGGUUUUCGGAUCGUAAAGCUCUGUUGUAAGAGAAGAACGAGUGUGAGAGUGGAAAGUUCACACUGUGACGGUAUCUUACCAGAAAGGGACGGCUAACUACGUG